AUGAACUUCCUUGUUUAUGUCAUCUGGUCCUCUGGAACCUGGAGGAAUCAUGGCAGUGAAAAACAACAGGCAGGAGACAGUAAAAGGACCUUUUUUUCAAACUUCAGAAAACAGCUAGGAUGCAUAAUCGUCAUGACGGAUGCAGAAAAGAUGGUCCUCAUGGUAGACGUCACGGUGCCAUUUGAAAACAGGUCACCAGCCUUCCACGAGACUCAAGCAUGGAAGGCUCGGAAGUACACCCCACUGGCCGAGACCCUGAGAGCCCAGGGCUACGAGGUCCAGAUCCACGCCCUGAUCGUGGGACCCCCACAACAAGCCGGUACUGACAGCGUGCGGAGUCAGUCGACGCUACGCCCAGCUCAUGAGACAGCUCAUGGUGUCUGAUGCCAUCAGGUGGCCCAGAGACAUUUAUACGGAACACAUCACAGGACACCGUCAAUACCACAUUGAGUAAUCGAGACCGCCAACCAGGGAAAUAACCCAUUUCCUUCCCUGACAAACCAAGGGACGCACCCCACCCAUGUACUUAUUCGCUACACCAAUGCGGACUUGGACUCUUAAUACAUUCCAUGGGUGUAUUAAGCCAUGAGCCCACUUAUCCACUGACACUCUAAAAACUCCCACACCCCAAUCUAGGGCUAUGCUGGUUAUAUAUGUAUCUCUUCAUCCUUGUAACUGAUACCGGUAAUCCCUCAUAACUCAAGCCUGACCCCAUAGGUACAGUACCUUCCCUCUGAACUUGUGUAUAUUUGAUUUUAAACAUUAACUUUAAUAACAUUUUUAAUUCUGUAUGUAGCACUGGUCCUAGGCAGUUCAGUUUUCAGGCCCUAUCAGAAGAGGCAGUUUCAGACUUGGCGAUCCCCCACCACAUCUACUUUUUCACACAGGUUUUCUCAACAGUGGGUCAAUGGUCAACACAGGCAUUCGUGAUUGUGCACAUCAAAAAAGGCUACGCAGGUGGUUAGCUCCUAGUGCCAGUCCCGUCCCAAAUAGACUCGCUGGGUCUAUUUCUUUCACACAUUGAUUACUUGGCGUUUUGGGGAAAACACUCGUGUUUUCAUGACAGACAUCACAGCUGAAAAGUUAUCAGCCAAUUCCAUCCGAGGAGCCCUUCUUAGUUAAGCUGUCUACUGUGUGUAUGUAUAUAUAUAUAUAUAUAUAUAUACACACACACACACACACACACAGCUAUUC
Long non-coding RNA from Chrysemys picta bellii (western painted turtle), 1194 nucleotides. Lineage: Eukaryota; Metazoa; Chordata; Testudines; Emydidae. The record is from Ensembl.